This 910-nucleotide ribosomal RNA is filed under the name Pseudo-nitzschia fraudulenta. RNAcentral's name for it is "partial Bacterial large subunit ribosomal RNA". It matches the Rfam family "Bacterial large subunit ribosomal RNA", at positions 3 to 963 of the family's 2925-position model. Lineage: Eukaryota; Bacillariophyta; Bacillariophyceae; Bacillariales; Bacillariaceae. The record is from RNAcentral.
UCAAGCAACUAAGCGCAUACGGUGGAUGCCUUGGCAGUCAGAGGCGAUGAAAGACGUGGAAGCCUGCGAUAAGGCUCGGGGAGCUGGCAAACAAGCUGUGAUCCGGGCAUCUCUGAAUGGGGAAACCCACCGGUCUUCGGACCGGUACCGUACGGUGAAUACAUAGCCGUACGGGGCGAACUCGGGGAACUGAAACAUCUAAGUACCCGAAGGAAAAGAAAUCAACCGAGAUUCCCUCAGUAGCGGCGAGCGAACGGGGACCAGCCCUUAAGCUGGACAACUGGUAGGAGAAGGCCCUGGAAAGAGCCGCCAUAGUGGGUGAUAGCCCCGUAUCCGAAACCUGAGUCCAGUGAAAUCGAGUAGGACGGGACACGAGACAUCCUGUCUGAACAUGGGGGGACCAUCCUCCAAGGCUAAAUACUACUGACUGACCGAUAGUGAACUAGUACCGUGAGGGAAAGAUGAAAAGAACCCCGAUAAGGGGAGUGAAAUAGAAUUUGAAACCGCAUACUUACAAGCAGUGAGAGGGCUAUUGUAAAGCUUGAUCACGUACCUCUUGCAUUAUGAUCUAGUGAGUUACGAUGUGUAGCCAGGUUAAGCCGUUAGGUGUAGCCGUAGGGAAACCGAGUCUGAAUAGGGCGAAUAGUUGCAUGUCGUAGACCCGAAACGGGAUGAGCUUACCAUGGGCAGGUUGAAGCGAGGGUAAAACCUCGUGGAGGACCGAACCCGUUAAGGUUGAAAACUUUUGGGAUGACCUGUGGUAAGGGGUGAAAGGCCAAUCAAAUUCCGUGAUAGCUGGUUCUCUCCGAAAUGCAUUUAGGUGCAGCGUCUAAUGAAUACCGUUGGGGGUAUAGCACUGAAUUGGCUAGGGGGCUUACCGGCUUACCAAACCAUAUCAAACUCAGAAUAC